RNAcentral lists this ribosomal RNA (480 nucleotides) under uncultured bacterium. RNAcentral's name for it is "bacterial SSU rRNA". It matches the Rfam family "Bacterial small subunit ribosomal RNA", at positions 96 to 562 of the family's 1533-position model. The record is from RNAcentral.
CGGCGGAUGGGUGAGUAACACGUGGGUAACCUACCUACAAGCUUGGGAUAACUCGUGGAAACGCGAACUAAUACCAAAUGCGAUCUUUUACCUCCUGGUAAAAGAUUAAAAGACGGUUUCGGCUGUCACUUGUAGACGGGCCCGUGGCGCAUUAGCUAGUUGGUGAGAUAAAAGCUUACCAAGGCAACGAUGCGUAGCCGACCUGAGAGGGUGAUCGGCCACACUGGGACUGAGACACGGCCCAGACUCCUACGGGAGGCAGCAGUAGGGAAUCUUCCGCAAUGGACGAAAGUCUGACGGAGCGACGCCGCGUGAAUGAUGAAGAUCUUCGGAUCGUAAAAUUCUGUUGUUAGGGAUGAACAAGUGUGAGCAUAACUACUCACACCUUGACAGUACUUAACCAGAAAGCCCCGGCUAACUACGUGCCAGCAGCCGCGGUAAUACGUAGGGGGCGUGCGUUGUCCGGAAUUAUUGGGCGUA